This 73-nucleotide transfer RNA is filed under the name Camelus bactrianus (Bactrian camel). It matches the Rfam family "tRNA". Rfam says of the family: Transfer RNA (tRNA) molecules are approximately 80 nucleotides in length. Lineage: Eukaryota; Metazoa; Chordata; Mammalia; Artiodactyla; Camelidae. RNAcentral also lists the same sequence under 2 other names. The record is from Rfam by way of RNAcentral.
GAAGAUAUAGCUCGGCGUUAGAGUAUGUGCUUAGCAUGCACAAGGUCCUGGGUUCAACCCCCCAGUACCUCCA